AUACGUAGGUGGCAAGCGUUGUCCGGAAUUAUUGGGCGUAAAGCGCGCGCAGGUGGUUCCUUAAGUCUGAUGUGAAAGCCCCCGGCUCAACCGGGGAGGGUCAUUGGAAACUGGGGAACUUGAGUGCAGAAGAGGAUAGUGGAAUUCCAAGUGUAGCGGUGAAAUGCGUAGAGAUUUGGAGGAACACCAGUGGCGAAGGCGGCUGUCUGGGCUGUAACUGACACUGAGGCGCGAAAGCGUGGGGAGCAAACAGGAUUAGAUACCCUGGUAGUCCACGCCGUAAACGAUGAGUGCUAAGUGUUGGGGGGUUUCCGCCCCUCAGUGCUGCAGCUAACGCAUUAAGCACUCCGCCUGGGGAGUACGGUCGCAAGACUGAAACUCAAAUGAAUUGACGGGG
This 397-nucleotide ribosomal RNA is filed under the name uncultured bacterium. RNAcentral's name for it is "partial 16S ribosomal RNA". It matches the Rfam family "Bacterial small subunit ribosomal RNA", at positions 523 to 918 of the family's 1533-position model. The record is from RNAcentral.